This 465-nucleotide ribosomal RNA is filed under the name uncultured bacterium. Its description in RNAcentral is "bacterial SSU rRNA". It matches the Rfam family "Bacterial small subunit ribosomal RNA", at positions 338 to 795 of the family's 1533-position model. The record is from RNAcentral.
CCUACGGGGGGCACCAGUGGGGAAUAUUGCACAAUGGGCGCAAGCCUGAUGCAGCCAUGCCGCGUGUAUGAAGAAGGCCUUCGGGUUGUAAAGUACUUUCAGCGGGGAGGAAGGUGAUAAGGUUAAUAACCUUGUCGAUUGACGUUACCCGCAGAAGAAGCACCGGCUAACUCCGUGCCAGCAGCCGCGGUAAUACGGAGGGUGCAAGCGUUAAUCGGAAUUACUGGGCGUAGAGCGCACGCAGGCGGUCUGCCAAGUCGGAUGUGAAAUCCCCGGGCUCAACCUGGGGACUGCAUUCGAAACUGGCAGGCUAGAGUCUUGUAGAGGGGGGUAGAAUUCCAGGUGUAGCGGUGAAAUGCGUAGAGAUCUGGAGGAAUACCGGUGGCGAAGGCAGCCCCCUGGACAAAGACUGACGCUCAGGUGCGAAAGCGUGGGGAGCAAACAGGAUUAGAUACCCCAGUAGUC